GACGAACGCUGGCGGCGUGCUUAACACAUGCCAGUCGAACGGGCCUUGUCCCCUUUUUUUUGGGGGUGGGGUUAGUGGCGAACGGGUGAGUAACACGUGAGUAACCUGCCCCUCACUUCUGGAUAACCGCUUGAAAGGGUGGCUAAUACGGGGUGUUCUGGCCUGCUCGCAUGGGUGGGUUUGGAAAGAUUCGACCGGUUUUGGUUGGUUUGGUGGGGGAUGGGCUCGCGGCCUAUCAGCUUGUUGGGGGGGGGAUGGCCUGCCAAGGCUUUGACGGGUAGCCGGCCUGAGAGGGUGGGCGGUCACACUGGGACUGAGACACGGCCCAGACUCCUACGGGAGGCAGCAGUGGGGAAUAUUGCACAAUGGGCGCAAGCCUGAUGCAGCGACGCCGCGUGAGGGAUGGAGGCCUUCGGGUUGUGAACCUCUUUCGCCAGUGAAGAAGGUCCUGCUCUUUGUGGUGGGGUUGACGGUAGCUGGGUUAAUGAAGCGCCGGCUAACUACGUG
Molecule: ribosomal RNA, 507 nt
Filed under: uncultured bacterium
Lineage: Bacteria
Description: partial 16S ribosomal RNA
Rfam family: Bacterial small subunit ribosomal RNA
Source: RNAcentral